ACCACUUCCCCCAGAGGAACAGUCUGAUGUGAUAAGAGCAAAGUAAUACAAAACAGACAGCUCACAUUUCCCUGAAACUAGAACUGCAAGAGGGUUUUGGCAGUUCCCAGAUGGCUGUGGAAGUCAGUGUAAGUUCUUCCCCCGGCUCCGGGUGGGGAAGGGGUGGGGGACCUUGCCUCUAAGGCUCCAUGCUGAUUCUAUGGCAGAGAGCGCAAAGCCUUGGAAAGAGCAGCCCUCUUUCCUCCGCUCCCGACAGUGUUGCUUUUCCCAGCAUCGCACACAUAGGAAUGAGGAGUCCUGCUUCACUUCGCUGGCUCCUUCUUCUACACCCAUACCUUUCGUCCCCCACAGCUGCCUCGCUAAAUCGCCCGGCUCCGAAAGAACUCCCCACGCUCUUGGCUGUUUUCUUGCCGCGCAGAGGGCUCAUCUUGAAUCAAGAGGCAGCAGUGUUUCCUCUGACAUCUUUAAGUAAUACUGUCUCCACGUAUGCCUUCCACACUCCCCUAACCUGAGAUUAUACAGACUCUUCUUGGAGAAGCAUGGAUGAAAGACUCAGGAGGAUCUGCUUCAAAUAAGACUCCACAUCCAAAGCGUGAUAAAUGGUGAGGGGAAUAAAGUCACAGACAACACGCCCGGUAUUGCCCAACUUUCCUCUGUGGAAGUGAAAUGAAUAAAUGUGGACACAGAGACAAGAAUUAGACAGGUUACUGUAGUAAUCCUAUAUGUUGAAAAGCCAAGCUGAUGGCCAGGGCAAAAUGAGAAAAGCCAGACUUAUGACGUAAAGAAUAGAGAGUCUUCAAAAUUGUGAUGUACGAUGUAUUGGAC
Molecule: long non-coding RNA, 825 nt
Filed under: Fukomys damarensis (Damara mole-rat)
Lineage: Eukaryota; Metazoa; Chordata; Mammalia; Rodentia; Bathyergidae
Description: lncRNA (ENSFDAG00000027563.1)
Source: RNAcentral